GAAGAUAUUCAGCCAGUAAGAUGGCUGGAACAUGUGGUGAGAGAGACCUUUGCUCUGAAUUCACUUAGCUUGUUAAGUUAGGUGUUUGUGUUUUGCCUUUUUAUGUCCUUGUAACCACUUCUGACUUAUAUGCCUCAUUACUUGUAGUCACUUAUUAACUACAGAAAGAAUAGAUUUUAAAUUUGUUUUGUUGUUUUAUCUAAAUCAGUGGGUUUGGACUGAAGCAGUUGGGGAAACUCCAUUUGGGAUAAGAUUUAUGCAUAUCAUUUUCUAUUAAUAAAAUGACGGACUUUAUAUGAGCUUGUGUUGUCCAGGAGAAGGCUGGGUAGUACAAGACACAUUUAUGAGGGAGAGUUUGGGACUGGGAAUUUGCUGGUGUUGCCCUGCAGUGUAGUUCGAGUGGCUGGCUAUAGUGCUCCGACAAUAUAGCUGGGAGUGAUUUACUUGCUGGGGGCUCUGAGAGGUGACAAGGAGUGGUUGCUCUCACAGCGAAGCUGUGUAAAAGGCAUCCCAGGUUGGAGAAUUGAGGGGACACAGCUGUUCAUCAGUCCAGAUUGCACCCUAGGGAAUGUCACAGUCACCUCCGUAGGAGAUUUUCACUUUGUUAGCUUCAUUGCACAAGACAGUGGCGUCGAACUGGGUUUUAGCAGAUCUCACUGGUCGUCUUCUCCGCGGUUACACAGCAGUGUUGCUACCUCAAACACAUCACAACUGCAGACACACUGAUGUUCUUUUUGAGAACAACAGGCGAUUCACAGCACCUUCCAGUUUGAUAGGGCUUGGCUUCCUUGUUCAUGCUACUGGAGUCGGAGAAACAAUUUGACCAUCACGACCCCUUCAGGUACAUGUUUUUCCAAUAUAUAAAUGGACACCUUAUAUUGACACCAUUAGUCCAGGGUAUAAAUUUAAUGCUGUCCCAUAUUUUGGUUAUUAGUCUUCCCCAAAUUGAGAAUACUGCCAUUUGGGGAUGAGAUCAUACUGCUUCAAAGAUGACACCAGUGCAUCAAAAGGCGUUCUUAGAGCCGACUGCUCCAGACCACAGUUACUGGUAUUAGAGUUCACACCAUCUGGAGUUUUUACAUAUCCACUUUCUGGAUUUCACAGCUGAGCUCUCCACGUGUCACGGUGCUGUUACAGUCUACUGGGAACAUCUUCAGAGGAGGAGGGGCUAUGGAAGAGAAGGAUGGUUUUAUGGCUAAAGUACAGAGUGCUUCUGACACAGACUUCCUGUGUGACCUGGGGAAAAUCACUUCAUCUCUCUUUGUCUCAGUUCCUCACGUGUAAAAAGCAUUGCGUUGGGGGAAAUAAAACUUAUUCCCACUUUGCGGUGGUAUUGUGAAAAUUAAGUCAUUUUUGCAAAAUUAUCUGGGGAGCCUCAGACAGAAGGUGCUAUGUAAAUGCAAACUAUUAUUAUUAUAUUUAUUAUUCAGAUCUUGUUCUUGAUUUGAUGGAAAGUGUUGAUACUGGCUAUAUUUGUCUGGAAGAAUUAUUGUGAAACUGCAAGCCAGGCUUCUGUUUUAUUAAAGGAUAUUAUUUUUUUAAAGUGAAAUUAUUUAUAUAUGAUUGAUAUAGCAGGAAAACAUCUGAAGUUCCCCUCAAACUAUUUGUUUUCUCAUCCUCUUGCAGUUGCUGUUUCCUUUGAGUAAAUCCCAAAUUAUAUUGAUUUUGGAUUGUACAAAACUUUUCCUCAGAGUCAUCCCUAGUUCUUAACUGGCCUCUUAUCCAUCUUACCCUUUUCCAGCCACAGUAUGCUAAUCUUAUCAAACACCUUGUCAUAAAUAUAAAGGGAAGGGUAAUCGCCUUUCUGUAUACAGUGCUAUAAAAUCCCUCCUGGCCAGAGGCAACAUCCUGUUACCUGUAAAAGGUUAAGAAGCUC
Molecule: long non-coding RNA, 1876 nt
Organism: Chelonia mydas (Green sea turtle)
Lineage: Eukaryota; Metazoa; Chordata; Testudines; Cheloniidae
Exons: 4
Source: RefSeq, a predicted model, not a curated record